Molecule: unclassified non-coding RNA, 274 nt
Filed under: Hevea brasiliensis (rubber tree)
Lineage: Eukaryota; Viridiplantae; Streptophyta; Magnoliopsida; Malpighiales; Euphorbiaceae
Source: RNAcentral
UGUGUGUGUGUGUGUGUGUGAAUGGGGAUAGAAAAUUCUCUGUGUGUGCGCGCGCACGCUUUAAUAUUCCAAUUGGAACUUAUUUAUUUUUCCUAUUUUAUCUAGGACUUAGUUUUUUAUUCUAUUUAGGAUUUUUUUUUCCUUUUUCAAUUAAGAUUUAGUUUUUCCUAUUUUAUUUCAAAAUUUUUGUCGUAAAUAGAAUAUUCUAGCGAAUUCGAAGGUUCUGCGGAUAAGAGAAUGGGGAUAGAAAAUUCUUUGUGUGUGUGUGUGUGUG